This 496-nucleotide ribosomal RNA is filed under the name uncultured bacterium. RNAcentral describes it as "bacterial SSU rRNA". It matches the Rfam family "Bacterial small subunit ribosomal RNA", at positions 35 to 487 of the family's 1533-position model. The record is from RNAcentral.
GCUGGCGGCGUGGCUAAGGCAUGCAAGUCGUACGGGACUUUCGCGGUAGUAAUACUUCGAAAGUUUAGUGGCGAACGGGUGAGUAAUGCACGGGUAACGUACCUCGGACACAGGGAUAGCGGCGUCCUUCGGGACUUUAGCGAAAGUGCCGGUAAUACCUGAUAACCUUCAGAAACCUCAUGAUUUCUGGAGCAAAGGCGGGGAUCCUUCGGGACCUGUCGGUUGGAGAUCGGCCCAUGUCCUAUCAGCUUGUUGGUGGGGUAACGGCCCACCAAGGCUCUGACGGGUAGCCGGCGUGAGAGCGCGACCGGCCACAUCGGGACUGAGACACUGCCCGGACACCUACGGGUGGCUGCAGCAACGAAUAUUCCGCAAUGGACGCAAGUCUGACGGAGCGACGCCGCGUGAAGGAUGAAGUCCUUCGGGAUGUAAACUUCACUAGUUUGUCAGGAAGCGAUGGGGCCUAAUACGUCCCUGAGUUGACCAUCAAACGAAA